GACGAACGCUGGCGGCGUGCCUAACACAUGCAAGUCGAACGGAAAGGCCCUGCUUUUGUGGGGUGCUCGAGUGGCCAACGGGUGAGUAACCCGUGAGUAACCUGUCCCUGACUUUGGGAUAACUUAAGGCAACUGGGGCUAAUACCGCCUAGGAGCUCCUGCUGCAUGGUGGGGGCUGGUAAGUUUCGGCGGUUGGGGAUGGACUCGCGGCUUAUCAGCUUGUUGGUGGGGUAGUGGCUUACCAAGGCUUUGACGGGUAGCCGGCCUGGGAGGGUGACCGGCCACAUUGGGACUGAGAUACGGCCCAGACUCCAACGGGAGGCAGCGGUGGGGAAUAUUGCACAAUGGGCGGAGGCCUGAUGCAGCAACGCCGCGUGCGGGAUGACGGCCUGCGGGUUGUGAACCACUUUCGCCUGUGACGAAGCGUGAGUGACGGUAAUGGGUAAAGAAGCACCGGCUAACUACGUG
This 468-nucleotide ribosomal RNA is filed under the name uncultured bacterium. Its description in RNAcentral is "partial 16S ribosomal RNA". It matches the Rfam family "Bacterial small subunit ribosomal RNA", at positions 28 to 507 of the family's 1533-position model. The record is from RNAcentral.